Molecule: non-coding RNA, 2178 nt
Organism: Phalacrocorax carbo (great cormorant)
Lineage: Eukaryota; Metazoa; Chordata; Aves; Suliformes; Phalacrocoracidae
Source: RefSeq, a predicted model, not a curated record
UCUCUUGUCCAGUAGCGUAAUCCUUAUGUAUGGAUCUGAUUACUGGAGCACUGAAAGACGCUGUAUGAACAAAAUGGCCGUAUGAGGCAUAUCUCUAGGAACCAGCCUCUUUCCAUAUUGCUUGAUAGGUUGUUCAAUUCCUGUCUGGUUAACUGCUUUGCAACAUUUCUCAGAAGUCCCUUCAGCUCUGCUUCCUUCUUUGUUUCCAUCACAGCAGCGCCGACAAUUCAAUGACUUGGGUUGCUUCAAUACAUGCAGGCAAACUCAGCACCAGAAACUGCCCUUCUUUCUUAAAGCCAAAUCCGGAGUGAUUGAAGGGCUUUAAUGGACUUCAGAUCUGUGACCACACUCACGUCUGAGAAAACGCUCUCAGAUGUUAAUGAGCCGAAGCCCUAUUCAUGGCAUUCGCGCAAUCUCACCUCUAUCAGCACAAUUUAAUGUUGUAGCUGGGGGACAGUUUGACUCAUGGGGGGUUUUGCCUGCAAACUCACUCCUGCCACCUUCACUCAUUUUGCAUCGUAUGCAAACUCUCGCUCACUUGCGUGAAGAAGGUGUACUGCAAGGGAUGGAAAGUGAUAAAGUCUUUCUCCAAACAGCUCCUGGAGAGCUACUUUACAGACAUUAUCUGGUGGAGGGCUCUCGAGAUGCAGAUAUUAAUGAUAUUUCUCAUAUUCAGUGAAGUAAACACAUUAAAAAUAUCCAAGGUUGAAGAUCUCUAGAAAUCUGGUUUUGAAGGCCAAAGUAUGCACAGCACUAGCUGAGCUGUAGGAGUAUACUGGUUCUGUACAGCAAAAAGUAAAAAGAAAAGUCUGUAAGGCUUGUCCCAAGCUGAACUUGAAUGGGCUUGGGGUGGAAAUUUUGUCAGCCGUGGUCAUAUGCAGUGAAACAUUUGUUUCAUGCUGGCAGUGGCAAUGAACAUUUUUUCUUUCUUCAAUAAUUUACAAAAUAUGAGCAAGUAGGUAGUUAAAGCAUUUCAAUUCUUCCAUGAAUGGAAUUGUUUCACAUGGUAUUUUCUAAGCAGAAAAAUAACUGGCACUGGGGGAAUUACUUUGUCACUCUCACAAAAUAUAAUUUCAUCCAAACGGCCAAAAUAAUGCAAUUAUCUGGGCAGAUAGCACAGCACACUCCGCAUACAUGGGCAGUGAAGAUAGCCUUUUAUUCCAUGAACAAGAGAUCAUUGCUCUGGAAAACUUGCUGGGUCACUUCUAAUUAUUAAAAGAGCAAAUUCAUGGUUUCUUUGUGGACUAGUCAUACCGUAUAGUAUUUUCUUUUUCGUUCUAUUUAAAUUUAGAUUGGUUAUUCAUACUUCCUGGCAGUGGUUAUAAAAGGAGGAUGACUGAGAAUUUGGUAGCCCCGCUCACCAGCCUGACACUUGGGUCACCUCCACACAUGCCUCCUGCCUGCGGAUACCGGGUGGGAUUGACGUCAUUUGAGGCCAGGAAGUCAGUAGAGAGUGGUUAGGCAACUGCUGACUUAGUGGGGUGAAGCCCUGAGGUCCCCAGAAAAACCCGAUCUCCAGCCCUGUACCCUGAAAACGAGGGUCAGUAAGGAACUGCUCAGAUGUCAGGACUGCUGAAGCCCAGUGGAUUUGUGUAACAGCUGAAGAGCAGUAUAUCUCACAACAUUCCUGUCUUCAUGUGGCACAUGUGGCACAACAUUGAGGAAUACGCCCAGAGCAUUGUAGUAUGGACCUCACCUGCAGCCAGAUAUGAGAAGUGGAAGUUGCAGCAGCUGCCAAAGGACAGCUUCAUAAAGGAGUUGAACACUUUGGAUCAAAAAAGGGGAGCUGCAAGCAUUCUGAAGGAUCAGGGCUUGGAGAUUUCCUUUGGCUUCAGCUUCAGGCAAAGCGCAGCAUCUCUCACUGGCAAAGAAAUCAUCCUUUUUGACUAUGUGAUAAAAAAUUGAUUGAGGGUUUCCGCUCCCCUGCUUCCAAGUGCCUUGCAUUCCUCAGUACGGAUGUCCAUCAUUAGUGAUUAUGGACCUGAAACCUUUCCACAAUUACUGUGGUUGCACUUCUGCCAAUAGGAAGCAAUAGUGAGAUACGAUCACUGAGCGUGGUCCUGUCGUGUUUGCGGGUUGUGUGGUCUUCUCUUAAUGUUGGCUAAACACAGUGUCCCACCACAGCUGACUUUUCUCUGCAAUAUGUUAUGUCUAAUAAAGCUGAAGCCAUACAAUGCC